This 425-nucleotide ribosomal RNA is filed under the name uncultured bacterium. RNAcentral's name for it is "partial 16S ribosomal RNA". It matches the Rfam family "Bacterial small subunit ribosomal RNA", at positions 354 to 796 of the family's 1533-position model. The record is from RNAcentral.
GUGGGGAAUCUUGCGCAAUGGGCGAAAGCCUGACGCAGCCAUGCCGCGUGAAUGAUGAAGGUCUUAGGAUUGUAAAAUUCUUUCACCGGGGACGAUAAUGACGGUACCCGGAGAAGAAGCCCCGGCUAACUUCGUGCCAGCAGCCGCGGUAAUACGAAGGGGGCUAGCGUUGCUCGGAAUUACUGGGCGUAAAGGGCGCGUAGGCGGACAGUUUAGUCAGAGGUGAAAGCCCAGGGCUCAACCUUGGAAUUGCCUUUGAUACUGGCUGUCUUGAGUACGGGAGAGGUGAGUGGAACUCCGAGUGUAGAGGUGAAAUUCGUAGAUAUUCGGAAGAACACCAGUGGCGAAGGCGACUCACUGGCCCGUUACUGACGCUGAGGCGCGAAAGCGUGGGGAUCGAACAGGAUUAGAUACCCGGGUAGUCC